Molecule: ribosomal RNA, 496 nt
Filed under: uncultured bacterium
Lineage: Bacteria
Description: partial 16S ribosomal RNA
Rfam family: Bacterial small subunit ribosomal RNA
Source: RNAcentral
GAUGAACGCUGGCGGCGUGCCUAAUACAUGCAAGUCGAGCGAACGGACGAGAAGCUUGCUUCUCUGAUGUUAGCGGCGGACGGGUGAGUAACACGUGGAUAACCUACCUAUAAGACUGGGAUAACUUCGGGAAACCGGAGCUAAUACCGGAUAAUAUUUUGAACCGCAUGGUUCAAAAGUGAAAGACGGUCUUGCUGUCACUUAUAGAUGGAUCCGCGCUGCAUUAGCUAGUUGGUAAGGUAACGGCUUACCAAGGCAACGAUGCAUAGCCGACCUGAGAGGGGGAUCGGCAACACUGGAACUGAGACACGGUCCAGACUCCUACGGGAGGCAGCAGUAGGGAAUCUUCCGCAAUGGGCGAAAGCCUGACGGAGCAACGCCGCGUGAGUGAUGAAGGUCUUCGGAUCGUAAAACUCUGUUAUUAGGGAAGAACAUAUGUGUAAGUAACUGUGCACAUCUUGACGGUACCUAAUCAGAAAGCCACGGCUAACUACGU